RNAcentral lists this unclassified non-coding RNA (161 nucleotides) under uncultured Helotiales. Its description in RNAcentral is "sequence contains ITS1". Lineage: Eukaryota; Fungi; Ascomycota; Leotiomycetes; Helotiales. The record is from RNAcentral.
CCGAGUUCAUGCCCUUACGGGUAGAUCUCCCACCCUUUGUAUACCUUACCUUUGUUGCUUUGGCGGGCCGCCUAGCUACUGGCUUCGGCUGGUAAGUGCCCGCCAGAGGACCCCAAACCCUGAAUUAUUUUGUGUCGUCUGAGUAAAAUAUUUAAUAUUUA